RNAcentral lists this non-coding RNA (26 nucleotides) under Homo sapiens (human). Lineage: Eukaryota; Metazoa; Chordata; Mammalia; Primates; Hominidae. The record is from RNAcentral.
UAUUGACUGGGACAAGCCCUGGAGCC